This 78-nucleotide transfer RNA is filed under the name Pedobacter cryophilus. Its description in RNAcentral is "Pedobacter sp. AR-3-17 tRNA-OTHER". Lineage: Bacteria; Pseudomonadati; Bacteroidota; Sphingobacteriia; Sphingobacteriales; Sphingobacteriaceae. The record is from RNAcentral.
AUUUGAUUAGCUCAACAGCUUCAUAGCAUCCCGAUUUUUCAAUCGGGAGGGUCACUGGUUCGACCCCAGUAUCUCCCA